This 259-nucleotide ribosomal RNA is filed under the name uncultured bacterium. RNAcentral's name for it is "partial 16S ribosomal RNA". It matches the Rfam family "Bacterial small subunit ribosomal RNA", at positions 793 to 1055 of the family's 1533-position model. The record is from RNAcentral.
GUCCGCGCGGUCAACGAUGCGCACUGGGUGUCCGGGCAUGGCCUGGGCGCCGAAGCGAACGCGUUAAGUGCGCCGCCUGGGGAGUAUGCCCGCAAGGGUGAAACUCAAAGGAAUUGACGGGGCCCGCACAAGCGGUGGAGCAUGUGGUUUAAUUCGAUGGUACGCGAGGAACCUUACCCGGGCUUGACAUGCACAGGGAUUAUUUAGAGAUAGGUAAGCGCAGCAAUGCGCCUGUGAACAGGUGCUGCAUGGCUGUCAU